AUGAACUACCUCUUCGCACCGCUUGACUUCGUGAAGUAGAAGGUGAAGGGCAUGGUCGCCACGCGUGAACGCGCCGCGGGAACCGCGCUAGUCGGCGGCGGCGCUGUGGGCGCCUACUUCCUCUGGCCCACGGGCGCCAUGAUGAAAGCGCCUGGAGCUGCCGGCUUCGUCAUCUCCUGCGUAGCGUUCGUGGCCAACCCGCAACUCUACUUCAGCAUCCUCUGUACGGCCGGGGUAGCGGCGGCGGCCGCCGCCUUCGCUGUGUAG
Molecule: ribosomal RNA, 267 nt
Filed under: Triticum aestivum (bread wheat)
Lineage: Eukaryota; Viridiplantae; Streptophyta; Magnoliopsida; Poales; Poaceae
Description: partial small subunit ribosomal RNA
Source: RNAcentral